ACCAAGGAAUGUUCCAUAAAACAGAACGUGACGUAGAAAAGAGUGGACAUUGAGUUCUGCAGUGGCGCUGUCAUUUGUUCUAAAAUCUAUUCUCUAUCCUUCCCUAACAAUUUCUUCAAAGCUUGAAAACAAGGGCCAAGUGAUGAAGACUGAAGUCAUUCCCUUUUUCUGUUGAGCAGAGCAACCUUGUGUUCAACAUUCAGCCAGCCCCAGCCAUGGUCUACGAUUACUAUGAAAAAGAAGAAUAUGCCCUAGCUUUUUACAACAUCGACAGUAGUUCAGUUUCCGAGUGAGACAAAGCAAUUACUAGAAGAGUUGGAGAAGCAUUUCUUGUAACAAACUGAUUCUUCUGUAUCAAACCUGGAAAAAAAUCAUGAACCAUCUGACAUCGUGAACAGUCUGCAGUGGGCUAUGGUUUCUUGUCAAGUCUUAUUUCCUUAUCAUCCCAUUAAAUGUUGUCAUUUUGC
This 467-nucleotide long non-coding RNA is filed under the name Homo sapiens (human). RNAcentral's name for it is "non-protein coding lnc-KLRB1-12:7". Lineage: Eukaryota; Metazoa; Chordata; Mammalia; Primates; Hominidae. The record is from RNAcentral.